This 918-nucleotide ribosomal RNA is filed under the name uncultured bacterium. RNAcentral describes it as "bacterial SSU rRNA". It matches the Rfam family "Bacterial small subunit ribosomal RNA", at positions 8 to 905 of the family's 1533-position model. The record is from RNAcentral.
AGAGUUUGAUCCUGGCUCAGAAUCAACGCUGGCGGCGUGCCUAACACAUGCAAGUCGAACGCGGUUUCCCCGCAAGGGGAAACUGAGUGGCGAACGGGUGAGUAACACGUGGGUGACCUACCUUCGAGUGGGGGAUAACGUCCCGAAAGGGACGCUAAUACCGCAUGACAUCCCGCCUUUGAACAGGCGGAGAUCAAAGCUGGGGAUCGCAAGACCCGGCGCUUGAUGAGGGGCCCGCGUCCGAUUAGCUAGUUGGUGAGGUAACGGCUCACCAAGGCGACGAUCGGUAUCCGGCCUGAGAGGGCGGACGGACACACUGGGACUGAGACACGGCCCAGACUCCUACGGGAGGCAGCAGUGGGGAAUUGUUCACAAUGGGCGCAAGCCUGAUGACGCAACGCCGCGUGGAGGAUGAAGGUCUUCGGAUUGUAAACUCCUGUUGCCAGGGACGAAUGGCUCCGACCUAAUACGUCGGAGAGUGACGGUACCUGGUGAGGAAGCCCCGGCUAACUCUGUGCCAGCAGCCGCGGUAAUACAGAGGGGGCAAGCGUUGUUCGGAAUUACUGGGCGUAAAGGGCGCGUAGGCGGCCUCCUAAGUCGAACGUGAAAUCCCCGGGCUCAACCCGGGAACUGCGUCCGAUACUGGGAGGCUUGAAUCCGGGAGAGGGAUGUGGAAUUCCAGGUGUAGCGGUGAAAUGCGUAGAUAUCUGGAGGAACACCGGUGGCGAAAGGCGGCAUCCUGGACCGGUAUUGACGCUGAGGCGCGAAAGCCAGGGGAGCAAACGGGAUUAGAUACCCCGGUAGUCCUGGCCCUAAACGAUGAAUGCUUGGUGUGGCGGGUAUCGAUCCCUGCCGUGCCGAAGCUAACGCAUUAAGCAUUCCGCCUGGGGGAGUACGGUCGCAAGGCUGAAACUCAAG